CCUACGGGAGACAGCAGUGAGGAAUAUUGGUCAAUGGGCGGGAGCCUGAACCAGCCAAGCCGCGUGAGGGAAGAAGGUACAGCGUAUCGUAAACCUCUUUUGUCAGGGAACAAAGGCGGGGACUAGUCCCCGGAUGAGGGUACCUGAAGAAAAAGCAUCGGCUAACUCCGUGCCAGCAGCCGCGGUAAUACGGAGGAUGCGAGCGUUAUCCGGAUUUAUUGGGUUUAAAGGGUGCGCAGGCGGCCUGUUAAGUCAGCGGUAAAAGCCCGGGGCUCAACCCCGGCGAGCCGUUGAAACUGGCGGGCUGGAGUUGGAGAGAAGUACGCGGAAUGCGCGGUGUAGCGGUGAAAUGCUUAGAUAUCGCGCAGAACCCCGAUUGCGAAGGCGACCUGCUAGAACAUAACUGACGCUGAUGCGCGAAAGCGUGGGGAGCAAACAGGAUUAGAUACCCUGGUAGUC
RNAcentral lists this ribosomal RNA (459 nucleotides) under uncultured bacterium. RNAcentral describes it as "partial 16S ribosomal RNA". It matches the Rfam family "Bacterial small subunit ribosomal RNA", at positions 338 to 795 of the family's 1533-position model. The record is from RNAcentral.